RNAcentral lists this transfer RNA (71 nucleotides) under Tetrahymena thermophila SB210. RNAcentral's name for it is "Tetrahymena thermophila tRNA-Undet for anticodon ???". It matches the Rfam family "tRNA". Rfam says of the family: Transfer RNA (tRNA) molecules are approximately 80 nucleotides in length. Their secondary structure includes four short double-helical elements and three loops (D, anti-codon, and T loops). Lineage: Eukaryota; Ciliophora; Oligohymenophorea; Hymenostomatida; Tetrahymenidae. The record is from Rfam by way of RNAcentral.
ACCAGGAUGGUGUAGAGGAAAGCAUAGCAGCCGUCCAGCUGCAGACCUGGGUUCAAUUCCCAGUCUUGGAA